UAUACCGAUUCUUAGUUCCAU
Molecule: non-coding RNA, 21 nt
Organism: Caenorhabditis elegans
Lineage: Eukaryota; Metazoa; Nematoda; Chromadorea; Rhabditida; Rhabditidae
Source: Ensembl